GGGGGGGCAGACAUCACCUGCCCAGAUGGCCAGAGAUGGUAAGGCCUCAUCUCUGAUCAGCUGAAAAUCUGGGCCUCACUCUGGCCAACAAACCUAAGAAUGGAAAGUUCCUUUAAUUAAAGAAGAUCCUCCAAAAGGAAUAACAAUAUCAUUUGGUGGACCAGACCAGAUUUUGGACCAGUGGACAAUAUCAGAAGGAAUCUGAUGUAAACUCAAUGUAGAUACUGGGAGCAGGUCUCUCCUGUGUGGUGUCAAGGAAGACUCCAAGAAAUUUCAUUUGUCUUCAUUUUAUGUUACCAUCCAUGAAUGCCAGCAGAAAAAGGAAUUUUGAGAAAACAAAUGAAACAAAA
This 350-nucleotide long non-coding RNA is filed under the name Phascolarctos cinereus (koala). Its description in RNAcentral is "lncRNA (ENSPCIG00000034266.1)". Lineage: Eukaryota; Metazoa; Chordata; Mammalia; Diprotodontia; Phascolarctidae. The record is from RNAcentral.